AGUAUUCCUCCAAACUUGAAAAACUACAGACCAUAUUGGAGCAUUUACAAAGGGUGGAAGAGUUCAAGUUCGUCUCAAAUCUCAAGAAGUUAGAGAAAAAACAAGGAAGACAGUAUGGCUGCUAGUGGAAUGCAACUAAAAAUACAGUGCUAGGACAAAGAAAGAUAUCUUGACUUGACAUUGGUUGGAUGGAAGGAAAAUGAGUAAGGCACCAAUGAUGAAGCCAGACUGGGAACCAAUAGGCAGAACCAAAGAACCAACUGUGGUUCAUGAAGCUCAAGGAGAUAAGAAGAAACAGGAAAAGAUCAAUGCAUUGCUAGGAGGCAGAUACUUCCCUUUCUUUAUACUUACAAAAAACGAGUUGCAGAAGGAAAUGGCAAACCACUCUAGUAUCUCUGCCAAGAAAACAUCAAAUGGAAUCAUGAAGAAUUAGACACAACUGAAAAACAAUGAAGACAACAACAAAUAAAAUUAGGAUAAUAGUAGCA
This 488-nucleotide long non-coding RNA is filed under the name Monodelphis domestica (gray short-tailed opossum). Its description in RNAcentral is "lncRNA (ENSMODG00000030916.2)". Lineage: Eukaryota; Metazoa; Chordata; Mammalia; Didelphimorphia; Didelphidae. The record is from RNAcentral.